This is an RNA transcript of Chelonia mydas (Green sea turtle), 4936 nucleotides long. It is a transcript of the gene named coenzyme Q10B, with no coding region annotated. Lineage: Eukaryota; Metazoa; Chordata; Testudines; Cheloniidae. The transcript is spliced from 5 exons. The record is from RefSeq and is a predicted model, not a curated record.
GGCUAUGAAAAACUUAACGUCCUGUGGAUGUAGUUAAGUUGAUCUAACCCCGCACUGUAGAAGCAGCUAGAUCAAGGGAAGAAUUCUUCCCUUGAUCUAGCUGCCAUCUCUCUCAAAAAUGGAUUCGCUACGUUGAUGGAAAAAACCCUUCUGUUGAUGUAGGAUGUGUUUAUGCUACAGCAGUGCACUGUAUGAUAGUCAUACACUAAGUAAGUGGCUUAUGGUCACACAGGAAGCAUCUGAGAGAGUAAGAAUUGGACUUCUGGUCUCCUAAGUCCAAGAACCCUAACCACUGAAACACUGUCAUGAAAGCAUCUGUAGAGCUCUCAGCAGGGAUUUCAUGCGUCUGCUUCCACUUUCUAAAAUAUAAAUAGAUGCAAUAAUACUUCCAAAACUUACUGUGUAUUUUCCAUUGAAUAGUUCAUGUCUCUCAUCAGUUUUCAUUUCACCUGAAACUUUUCUAAUAUUCUUGAUCAGUGGUUCUCAAACUUUUGCACUGGGGGACCUCUUUCACACAGCAAGCCUCUGAGUGCCCCCCCUUAUAAAUUAAAACUACAUUUUUAUAUUUAACACUUUUAUAAAUGCUGGAGGCAAAGUGCGGUUUAGGUUGGAGGCUGACAGCUCAUUACCCCCCAUGUAAUAACCUCACGAUCCCCAGUUUGAGAACCCUUGUUCCUUAUACAUUUAAAUUCCAUCUGAAAUGUAGAGGUCUAGCUUUGCUUUCAAAUUCUAGAUGACCUUUCAUCAGUUGAACAUAAUCCAACUCUAUUGCUAUCUACUUUUGAGAGAGUUAAUGUUCUCAGCUUCCUUUUUUAGCUUACAAUUUCUUAUGAAAUUUUGCCAAUGCUGUACAUAUUUUCACAAUUAAAUACAUGAUUAAGCUAGUAGGGGGUGACUUUCUUCCAUCUUUGCCCCACCAGGGGGCUCAAUGUCCUGAGAUCCCCAUGUACAUGCUGGUGAAGCUCUUAUCACUUUCUGUCAUUGUCUUGUGACUAAAGCAUAGGACUAGGAGAAAGGAAUUCUGGGUUUAAUUUCCAAAAGCUCUGCCACCACUUUGUAUCACCUUGAAACAGAAUGGUUAGUGACUUGGCCUAUUUCCCUGUCUCACAAAUUGUAUUGUCUUAACAGUUGUGUGUAAAGCAUUCUUAGUUAUUUCGAUGGAAGGAACUCUGAAAGUCUUUGUGUUUAUAAAAGAAAAAUUGCUUUAUUACUGCUUUGGCUGCCAAUGGAGUAUCCCAUACAGCUGCACUAUUCAACUAUCUAUAGAACCAGUUUUAAAUACAGCAUGUUAAAAAUGCAAUGGUUUUUAAACCGUAAUUAUCCACGAUCACAUAUGGUCACCUCUUCGAGCUCCCAUUAGGAACCAUCCUUUGCCCACAUAAAAUGACUCUGAAAAGUGUUAGAUAUUGUAAAAGUAUUUUUAACUCAUAAUCAGAAGGUUGAAAUGAAUCUGUUAACUUUCUAGUCAGUUUUUCCUCUAUUCUAAAUGUAUGCUCUAGUUUGGUAUUACAGGAUUGAUUGUGCUGGUGGCGUCUCUUUUUUUUUAAAAGGAAAACCAAGUUUAAUAUCAAAAAAGCUCUCUGUUGAUCAUUAGGACAGUGUGAUAUAAAUGUUUUAAUAAAAAAAAAAGGCACCUUGAAUGUGGAACUUCCCUACUGGAAUAGAUCAGUAGAGCCCUGUACAGAUACGAAAUUUGUAUCCAUAUCCCAUCCGUGGAUAUAAAGCAGAUAUCCGCAGAUUUGUAGGGCUCUAGAUACAAAAUUUAUAUUCACAUGUGAUCUGCGAUCUGCAAAAAUGGUCUGUGGAUAUAAAUCCGCAGAUUUUCAGGGCUCUAUAGAUCAAUCAGGCCAAGACCAAACCUGACAAUGUUCAGAGUACAAAGCAAAAAAACAUAUAUAAGGGGUGAAUAGGAGGGAAUUAAAAUAAAAGCUGAAAGGAGUAGAGAUGAAGUACAGGAUCUUUUACAGACAAAUUAAUGUGUCUCAAUGUAUAUGGGACUUAGAUUCUACUCUUUUUAGGGAUUUUUAAUGUGACCAUCACCUAGAUAUCAGAGUACAGUACAUUUACAUAAAGUAGACAGCGAGACUGCAUUUCCUGCUCUUUUCCCUUACUACAAUGAUAGGCAUGUUAGAAAUGUCUGACACAGACAGAUGGAAAAAUAUUUUACAGUUUGUUUUAGAAUUGUUUCUGAUUGUUGAUUCUUCAGAUAUGUUGCUGAGAAUUAGGUUGGGUUUUUAUUUUUUGGUAGAUCUUGAUAUCCUCUGGUAACGAACAGGGGGGGUGUUGCUGGUUUCAGAAUUUUUCUAUGGCAUUGAGUAAGCAUUCUACAACAACAGUGAUAGACACACUCCAAGACACCAAGAGAAAUACAGGGAGAAGAGAAAAUACUUGGUGGUCAAGAGGAGUACUUCUGAAUAAAGGAAAGGAAUCUUAUGUUCUUAGAGAAGCCUAUAACACAUGACCAUAGAUGGCACCUAAACCACUUGGGAAGUGGGAAAAGUAUGGAAAAAGAUACUGUCGAGAUUGGGAAAGGGAAACUGGAUUAAAAGAAUGGAUUCGAAGUGUACCAGGAGAUGACACAAAGGCAGCAUGCAAAUACUGCGCAUGUGAAAUCAGAGCCCAUCAUAGUGAUUUGGUUGCACACAGUAAAACAAAAAAGCACAAGAGACAUGUUGCUUUAUUUUCACAUUCUUCUGAUAUGAAAAAACAUUCAUUUGAAUUUGAAGUUGAAAACCAAAAUUCAUUUGAUGAUGAUAUCACGCAAGCCAAAAUGGAUCAAUCUGUAAAUGUGUGCGCACUGAAGCUAGCGGCACACAUAGCUUGCCAUAUGAGCAUUUUCACAGUGGAUCACCUAGGCUGCAUUGUUGGAGGGAUAGCAGAGAAGGAUAUUAGUCUGCAUAGAACAAAAUGUUCCACACUGAUUAGAAAUGUCAUUGGUCCUACUGUACACAAAGAACUUCUCAGAGACAUUGGCAAUGGACACUACUCGUUGAUCAUUGAUGAAAGUACAGAUGUAUCAGCACAAAAGCAACUUUGCUUGAUAGUAAGAUACUUCAGCAACAAGCUUAAAUGUAUUGUAUCAUCCUUUGCAGGGAUCAUUAACUUAACUAGAAGUGGUACUAUCACAGAAGCACUCUUGACAUUUCUAAAUGACAACAAGCUGAACAUAAAAAGGUGUGUUGGGAUUGCUGCUGAUGGUUUCAAUACAAGCUUAUGUGGAAAUAAAAAUUCAUUGCUCAAAAAGUUUUAUGAACUCAAUCCUUGUGGAGUUUUCAUCAAAUAUGUAAGUUACUCUCUCUAUUUGUGUUCUUCAAAAGCCAUUGAUGUGCUUCCAUUGAACAUAGAGUACAUGGUUUCACGGACAUACUUGUGGUUUUCCCAUAGCACUUUCCACCAGAAGAGGUACCAUGAACUGUAUGCUGCCAUCAGUGUUGGAGAGAAUUUCCUGAAAAUACUGCAGCUUACUGAGACAAGAUGGCUGUCCAUUAGCCCUUGUAUUAACAGAGUACUUGAUCAGUAUGAAGCUCUGAUGUUGCACUUUCAGUCUAUAAGAGACAAUGAAAGGGACUACAGUGCUGAGCUUCUCUAUCAAAUGUAUUCUGACCCAGUAAAUAGACUCUAUCUUGUUUUUCUGCAGCCUCUUAUUGAGGAAGCUAACAGGAUCAACAAGUUAUUUCAAUUUGAAACAGUUAAUCCAGUUAACCUUAUUGCUGAAUUAAUGCUGUUCUAUCAGAAUUUGGUACAAAGAGUCAUGAAACCUUGUGUCUUUACAACAUGGUCAUCCAUUGUAAAUUAUGACAUUCACUGUAACAGGAACUACAUGCCUCUUUCAGAGGUUAACUUUGGAUCAGCGUUCCUAUCAGAAUUAAUAAAUGCAAAUCUUUCCUCACAUACAGUAGAUACCAUCCAAAGCAGAUGUCGAGAUUGUAUCCUUGAGUUUGCUAAGCAAAUAAAGCUCCGACUGCCUCCAAAUGUCCAUCAUCUAGAAUCUCUCAGCGCUCUGAGCCCUUCAGUUGUUCUCAGUCCUACAAAACCUGAAUUCUCAACCCUGUCUUUUUUGUCCUUGUGUAGAGGGGAUCAUAUCAAGUUGAAACAGCAAUGGAGAAAUCUGGAUGCAGUCUCAUGGACGAACACAGAAGAUAGCCAAAUAGAACAGUUCUGGAUAGAAGUUGCAAAACACACAGAUGAAGUUGGUGAUAAGGAUUUUGUUGAACUAGGAUUAUUUGCCCUUGCCCUUCUCACCUUACCCUUCAGCACUGCAGCUGUGGAGUGUACAAUCUCACAAAUGAACUUGAUAAAAACCAAGUUAAAGAACAGACUGCAGGACAGCCUACUUGAAAAUAUCUUAAGGAUCAGGGCCUAUAUGCACCGAAAUAAGAUUUGCUGCAACCAGUUUCAGCCAUCCAAAGAGAUGAUAUCUUUGUUUAAUAAUGAGUUUUAUGCAAUUGCUAAUAGCAAGGAUGCUACAGAUGACUCUGAGGAGGAUAUAUUUUGAAAAGACUCAAGUGAAGAGGAUCUCUUUUAGAAAAGCACUUGGCUUCAUGUGGUAUUCUGAUGAGCAGAAUUCCUCAAAUGCAAGCAUCUGUAACAAACCGUACCUUCGCAAGAAGAACUUUCUUCAACAUUGCUUCACCAUUCGGAAACAAAAGAAAAGAAUAUUCUGAGAGAAGAAUUAUAGGGAUUGGGAUCUUAGCUCUCGAAUGCAAGGGACUAAUAGCAGCAGCUUGACAGAACAGACGGUGGGUAUUCCAUGCAGGAAAUGUAUGAAGUGGUAGCUGUUGUGGAGGACUACAAACUCUUUGUUCCUUGGUGUAAAAAGUCAGACAUAUUAUCCAAACGUUCUGGGUACUGCAAAGCCCACUUAGAAAUAGGAUUUCCUCCUGUGGUAGAGAAGUAUACAUCAGUUGUUACCCUAGUGAGACCUCACUUGGUUAAG